Molecule: ribosomal RNA, 844 nt
Filed under: uncultured bacterium
Lineage: Bacteria
Description: bacterial SSU rRNA
Rfam family: Bacterial small subunit ribosomal RNA
Source: RNAcentral
AGUGAACGCUGGCGGCGUGCCUAAUACAUGCAAGUCGAACGUGAAAGUUCUUCGGAAUGAGUAAAGUGGCGCACGGGUGAGUAAUACGUGGGAACGUGCCCUAAGGUGGGGAAUAACUGUUGGAAACGACAGCUAAUACCGCAUGGUCUCGAAAGAGUAAAGGUGGCUCGCAAGAGCUACCGCCAUAGGAUCGGCCCAUGUCCCAUUAGCUAGUUGGCGGGGUAAUAGCCCACCAAGGCAACGAUGGGUAACUGGUCUGAGAGGAUGAUCAGUCACACUGGAACUGAGACACGGUCCAGACUCCUACGGGAGGCAGCAGUAGGGAAUAUUGCACAAUGGAGGAAACUCUGAUGCAGCAACGCCGCGUGAGUGAAGAAGGCCCUUGGGUUGUAAWGCUCUUUAGCUAGGGAAGAAGCUGUGCAUGGCUAAUAUCCAUGCAGGGUGACGGUACCUGGAGAAUAAGCACCGGCUAAUCUCGUGCCAGCAGCCGCGGUAAUACGAGAGGUGCAAGCGUUACUCGGAAUCACUGGGCGUAAAGCGCACGUAGGCGGAUUCGAAAGUCAAUUGUGAAAGCCCCGAGCUCAACUUGGGAAUUGCAGUUGAAACUUCGUUUCUUGAAUAUCUGAGAGGGUGGGGGAAUACCUAGUGGAGAAGUGAAAUUCGUAGAGAUUAGGUGGAACACCAGAGGCGAAGGCGCCUGCCUGGCAGAAUAUUGACGCUGAGGUGCGAAAGUGCGGGGAGCAAACAGGAUUAGAUACCCUGGUAGUCCGCACCGUAAACGAUGGAUACUAGGCGUUCGGAGAGUUAACCUCUGAGUGCCAAAGUUUACACAUUAAGUAUCCCG